GAACUCAAAGGAGACUGCCAGUGAUAAACUGGAGGAAGGUGGGGAUGACGUCAAGUCAUCAUGGCCCUUACGACCAGGGCUACACACGUGCUACAAUGGCGCAUACAAAGAGAAGCGACCUCGCGAGAGCAAGCGGACCUCAUAAAGUGCGUCGUAGUCCGGAUUGGAGUCUGCAACUCGACUCCAUGAAGUCGGAAUCGCUAGUAAUCGUGGAUCAGAAUGCCACGGUGAAUACGUUCCCGGGCCUUGUACACACCGCCCGUCACACCAUGGGAGUGGGUUGCAAAAGAAGUAGGUAGCUUAACCUUCGGGAGGGCGCUUACCACUUUGUGAUUCAUGACUGGGGUGAAGUCGUAACAAGGUAACCGUAGGGGAACCUGC
RNAcentral lists this ribosomal RNA (381 nucleotides) under Salmonella enterica subsp. enterica serovar Infantis. Its description in RNAcentral is "bacterial SSU rRNA". It matches the Rfam family "Bacterial small subunit ribosomal RNA", at positions 1135 to 1515 of the family's 1533-position model. Lineage: Bacteria; Pseudomonadati; Pseudomonadota; Gammaproteobacteria; Enterobacterales; Enterobacteriaceae. RNAcentral also lists the same sequence under 12 other names. The record is from RNAcentral.